Non-coding RNA from Triticum aestivum (bread wheat), 106 nucleotides. Lineage: Eukaryota; Viridiplantae; Streptophyta; Magnoliopsida; Poales; Poaceae. The record is from Rfam.
AUCCUCCCUUCCUGGACAUCCGAUAAAAUUGGAACGAUACAGAGAAGAUUAGCAUGGCCCCUGCGCAACGAUGACACGCACAAAUCAAGAAAUGGUCCAAUGUUUU